AUCUUUGCGCUUGGGGCAAUGACGCAGCUUAUGAGGUAAUAACCGAGGCGCGUCUAUUGCUGGUUGAAAACUAUUUCCAAACCCCCUCUCAGGCCCGGCUUUCAGGGCCACUGAGAAUUUCUGGAAGGGCUCCUUCUCUUCGGGGAGGGUAAAGCCCAACAAAUUCUU
Molecule: small nuclear RNA, 168 nt
Filed under: Oryza sativa Indica Group (long-grained rice)
Lineage: Eukaryota; Viridiplantae; Streptophyta; Magnoliopsida; Poales; Poaceae
Description: U4 snRNA
Rfam family: U4 spliceosomal RNA (bases 1-139)
About the family: U4 small nuclear RNA (U4 snRNA) is a component of the major U2-dependent spliceosome.
Source: RNAcentral